Long non-coding RNA from Oncorhynchus tshawytscha (Chinook salmon), 991 nucleotides. The record is from Ensembl. Lineage: Eukaryota; Metazoa; Chordata; Actinopteri; Salmoniformes; Salmonidae.
UGAGGGUUAGUGUAGUGUAUGGUUAGUGUAGUGUAGGGUUAGUGUAGUGUAUGGUUAGUAUAGUGUAGGGUUAGUGUAGUGUAGGGUUAGUGUAGUGUAUGGUUAGUAUAGUGUAGGGUUAGUGUAGUGUAUGGUUAGUGUGGUGUAGGGUUAGUGUAGUGUAUGGUUAGUAUAGUGUAUGGUUAGUGUAGUGUAUGGUUACUGUAGUGUAUGGUUAGUGUAGUGUGGCGUUAGUGUAGUGUGGGGUUAGUGUAGUGUGGGGUUAGUGUAGUGUAGGGUUAGUGUAGUGUGGGGUUAGUGUAGUGUGGGGUUAGUGUAGUGUAGGGUUAGUGUAGUGUAUGGUUAGUGUGGGGUAAGGGUUAGUGUAGUGUAUGGUUAGUAUAGUGUAUGGUUAGUGUCGUGUGGGGUUAGUGUAGUGUAGGGUUAGUGUGGUGUAGGGUUACUGUAGUGUAUGGUUAGUGUAUUGUGGGGUUAGUGUAGUGUGGGGUUAGUGUAGUGUGGGGUAGUUGUAGUGUGGGGUUAGUGUAGUGUGGGGUUAGUGUAGUGUAGGGUUAGUGUAGUGUAGGAGUGUAGGGUUAGUGCAGUGUGGGGUUAGUGUAGUGUAGGAUUAGUGUAGUGUAUGGUUACUGUAGUGUAUGGUUAGUGUAGUGUGGGGUUAGUGUAGUGUGGGGUUAGUGUAGUGUGGGGUUAGUGUAGUGUGGGAUUAGUGUGGUGUGGGGUUAGUGUAGUGUAUGGUUAGUGUAGUGUGAGAUUAGUGUAGUGUAUGGUUAGUGUAGUGUAUGGUUAGUGUAGUGUAUGGUAGGAUUAGUGUAGUGUAUGGUUAGCGUAUGUAUGGUUAGUGUUGUGUGGGGUUAGUGUAGUGUAUGGUUAGUGUGGUGUGGGGUUAGUGUAGUGUAUGGUUAGUGUGGUGUGGGGUUAGUGUAGUGUAUGGUUAGUGUAGUGUGGGGUUAGUGUAGUGUGGAGUUAGUGUAGUGUAUGGUUAGUGUAGUGU